RNAcentral lists this ribosomal RNA (562 nucleotides) under Pichia pseudolambica. Its description in RNAcentral is "[Candida] pseudolambica partial large subunit ribosomal RNA". It matches the Rfam family "Eukaryotic large subunit ribosomal RNA", at positions 81 to 670 of the family's 3401-position model. Lineage: Eukaryota; Fungi; Ascomycota; Pichiomycetes; Pichiales; Pichiaceae. The record is from RNAcentral.
CAGUAGCGGCGAGUGAGCGGCAAGAGCUCAGAUUUGGAAUCGUGUUUCGGCACGAGUUGUAAAUUGCAGGUUGGAGUCUUUGUGGAAGCGUGUGUCCAAGUCCCUUGGAACAGGGCGCCAUUGAGGGUGAGAGCCCCGUGGGAUGCGCGCGGAAGCAACAAGGCCCUUCUGACGAGUCGAGUUGUUUGGGAAUGCAGCUCUAAGCGGGUGGUAAAUUCCAUCUAAGGCUAAAUACUGGCGAGAGACCGAUAGCGAACAAGUACUGUGAAGGAAAGAUGAAAAGCACUUUGAAAAGAGAGUGAAACAGCACGUGAAAUUGUUGAAAGGGAAGGGUAUUGGGCCCGACAUGGGGAUUGCGCAUCUCUGCUCCUUGUGGGCGGGGCGCUGUGCUUUUCCUGGGCCAGCAUCGGUUUUUGCCGCAGGAGAAGGGGUACUGGAAUGUGGCUCCUCGGAGUGUUAUAGCCAGUGCCAGAUGCUGCGUGCGGGGACCGAGGGCUGCGACAUCUGUCUCGGAUGCUGGCACAACGGCGCAAUACCGCCCGUCUUGAACAACCGGACCAAA